UUGGCCUACGGGAGGCAGCAGUAGGGAAUCUUCCACAAUGGGCGAAAGCCUGAUGGAGCAACGCCGCGUGAGUGAAGAAGUAUCUCGGUACGUAAAGCUCUAUCAGCAGGGAAGAAAAUGACGGUACCUGACUAAGAAGCCCCGGCUAACUACGUGCCAGCAGCCGCGGUAAUACGUAGGGGGCAAGCGUUAUCCGGAUUUACUGGGUGUAAAGGGAGCGUAGACGGCAGCGCAAGUCUGGAGUGAAAUGCCGGGGCCCAACCCCGGAACUGCUUUGGAAACUGUGCAGCUCGAGUGCAGGAGAG
Molecule: ribosomal RNA, 305 nt
Filed under: uncultured bacterium
Lineage: Bacteria
Description: bacterial SSU rRNA
Rfam family: Bacterial small subunit ribosomal RNA
Source: RNAcentral